This 253-nucleotide ribosomal RNA is filed under the name uncultured bacterium. RNAcentral describes it as "partial 16S ribosomal RNA". It matches the Rfam family "Bacterial small subunit ribosomal RNA", at positions 524 to 776 of the family's 1533-position model. The record is from RNAcentral.
UACGGAGGGUGCAAGCGCUAUCCGGAUUCACUGGGUUUAAAGGGUGCGUAGGCGGGCAGGUAAGUCCGUGGUGAAAUCUCUGAGCUUAACUCAGAAACUGCCAUGGAUACUAUUUGUCUUGAAUAUUGUGGAGGUAAGCGGAAUAUGUCAUGUAGCGGUGAAAUGCUUAGAUAUGACAUAGAACACCAAUUGCGAAGGCAGCUUACUACACAGUUAUUGACGCUGAGGCACGAAAGCGUGGGGAUCAAACAGG